GAUAAACGCUGGCGGCGCACAUAAGACAUGCAAGUCGAACGAACUUAACUCAUUCUUUACGAUUGAGAGCGGUUAGUGGCGGACUGGUGAGUAACACGUAAGCAACCUGCCUAUUAGAGGGGAAUAACAGUGAGAAAUCAUUGCUAAUACCGCAUAUGCUCACAGCAACACAUGUUGCAGUGAGGAAAGGAGCAAUCCGCUAAUAGAUGGGCUUGCGUCUGAUUAGCUAGUUGGUGGGGUAACGGCCUACCAAGGCGACGAUCAGUAGCCGGACUGAGAGGUUGAACGGCCACAUUGGGACUGAGAUACGGCCCAGACUCCUACGGGAGGCAGCAGUCGGGAAUAUUGCGCAAUGGAGGAAACUCUGACGCAGUGACGCCGCGUAUAGGAAGAAGGUUUUCGGAUUGUAAACUAUUGUCAUUAGGGAAGAUAAAAAGACUGUACCUAAGGAGGAAGCCCCC
Molecule: ribosomal RNA, 461 nt
Filed under: uncultured bacterium
Lineage: Bacteria
Description: bacterial SSU rRNA
Rfam family: Bacterial small subunit ribosomal RNA
Source: RNAcentral